GGUAGAGUUGGGAUUUGAAGGCAGCUCUGCCAGCUCCAAACCCUUUGCACAACACCCCUGCUUCUCAUACUUGAGCACGCAUUUGAGCCCUUGGAGAUCUUGUUAUCAUGCACAUCCUAACUCAGUCUUUUGGGAGCAGCGUCUCUCUAACGGGCUUCUUCCGGAUGUCAAUGCUGCCGGACCGUGGAGCACUGGGAGUAGCAAGGCUUAUGACACAACCUCUCCUCCCCUCCCCUUACUGUGCUGAGCUCUUUUCCCUCUUGGGCCUGGGCACUUGCUACCCCACAGCCCGGGACUCUCCUCUGACAUAAGCUAAGUAGCACGAGGGCAGUGAUUGCUUCCUUGCAUGUGUCCUGCACGUGGGAGCGGGAGUCACAGAUUCUGCCAGUGAUCUGGGGAAUUCAGACCACUUCCCGGCGGCCUGUUUGUACCUUUCCUUCAGCUCGCUGGAGCCUUUCCCCUACUAGGAUUCUGUGAACUGACACAGACAGCACUCAGGUUUCCAGCUAACCUGUGCCUUUUGUUUGCAGCCUCCUGAGAAAUAAGGAGUGCGUGGAGAGCCCAUUGCUUCCCUGCCCUUCAGAGUAGCCACUUGGCACCUGUGGCGACUUAAGCUUCCAUCGAUUACAACCAAAUACAAAUAAAAACCCAGUUCUUAGUUGUGCUGGCUGCAUCGGAGUGGACACACCCGUGUGGCCAGUGACUACUGCUUGGGACAGUGAGAUGGAAGAACGCGUCUGCAUCGUCACAGAAAGUCCCAUUUGGACGGUGCCGCUCGGUUUCUGUGACACUAACUAGAUCUCCCCGGUACCGUUCCGUCAGGGCUAAGACAAAGAAGACUGUCAAUGUCUACCUUGACCUGGGUCUGUCUUGUCCUCCCUCGGCUGUCACCUCUCUUUCAGCUGGAGGUGUCCGAGGAGAGUGCCUGUGCCACUGGAGACCCCGUCACCGAGAGUCCCACGGUCAGCGUCCGACUGGCAGAUCUGCCCAGCGGCGGAAGUGCUCUCUCAGCAAACGUGCAUCGGACGGAUGGGGCCGGGGCCCCUGCCGUGCCCACCGCCUAGGGGUCCCCUCCACAAGAGCUCCAGGGGAACGGACAGCCUGAGGGUGUGACAUGGCUGUGAAGUCAGAGUGCAGUAAGCCCUCGGUUUGCAGGCCGGGAAAUGAGGAAGUGUCCACCCACGGCGCAAUGUGAAAUGGUAGGAGGGUCACUGUGACUGGCCUCGACGCCCGGCAGUCCAGCCCGAUGACCCAAGGGUCAGCGACGCUCAGAGCAGAAACCCAGCAAAGCAAGGAGGCCUCAUGGAAUUUCACUUCAGCUUUUAGGCUCUUUGCAGCCACGAGUUGUUUUGUUCACUUUUCCCUCACCUUUGCUUUCUUGCUUGCUUCCCAGGCUGGAAUC
This is a long non-coding RNA of Fukomys damarensis (Damara mole-rat), 1402 nucleotides long. RefSeq lists it as uncharacterized. The transcript has 3 exons. The record is from RefSeq and is a predicted model, not a curated record. Lineage: Eukaryota; Metazoa; Chordata; Mammalia; Rodentia; Bathyergidae.